AUAUAUAUAUAUAUAUCUUCCGUAAUAAAAAGGCACCAUUUAAUUCUUUUAAGAGAAGGAGCCAUUGCACCUGAAUGGAUUCUUUUUCCUGUUGUGCCUUUAUAUAGGAGCAAGAUGCUUAUUAGUGUGGAAAGCAAGAGAAAAUGGACAGAGAACAAGAUAUUCAAACCAAUGCAGAAAAAGGAAACAUUUAAUAUUUAAAUAAUGGGGAUGAGGUUAAUAAUUUCUCAAUUCCUAAAUUUUACUGUAUAGUUUGACUGUAGAAAAGAUGUGUU
This 275-nucleotide long non-coding RNA is filed under the name Homo sapiens (human). Its description in RNAcentral is "HSALNT0133408". Lineage: Eukaryota; Metazoa; Chordata; Mammalia; Primates; Hominidae. The record is from RNAcentral.